Molecule: long non-coding RNA, 349 nt
Filed under: Coffea arabica (coffee)
Lineage: Eukaryota; Viridiplantae; Streptophyta; Magnoliopsida; Gentianales; Rubiaceae
Description: long non-coding RNA (CARA_LNC006480)
Source: RNAcentral
UUUUUUUUUCCUUUGAUAGGUUACUAAGUUGGUUAUUCCAAAAAAAAAAUAGUUAUCCCGAGCUUUUAAGAGGAAGAAGUUUUAUUAUUUUGCUAUGUAGGAAAAAUUUGUGUUUGCUUAUACUUCUUGGUGGAUUUUUUUUAUAACAAUUAAUGAUAGUCCUUUAUUACUUUAUUGGUUAUAGUAAAUUUCAAACAAUCGAUUAAUUACCUACUUUGCAUACAUUUGUAUAAUUUAUGCCUUGUCUUAUUUUUUGUUAAUAGCUUUCCUUUUUUAAUUCCGUACAAUCACAUUCUCCAUUUCUAUUAUUGAAUUGAUCAUUUAUUAUCAUUACUAAAAUUUGGACAAA